UUUUCUGUUCUUAUUGUGUUUUCAGCCUUUUUCUAUCUUAAGGAAUCAGCCCAAAAAUCCCCAAUUUCUAGGGUUUUUCCAUACUCUUUUUGGGUGAAAUUAGAUUGUCGAAAUUUGGGAAAAACUAUCUUGGUGUUCAAUUGGGCAGAAUCACAAUCUCCUUGAGGGUUUCAAGAACCCUAACACUUAUUUCUAUUCUCAAUUUGAUUCUUUGCUGAUUUGGGGAUUUUAUUUCAGAUCUGAAAAUUCAAAAAUAUAAUCUUUUAAUUUUCUGUUUCGUUUCAGAUCUAAUUGUUUAGGGUUUUCGUAGGAGUUUCCCGUGACUUGGCAACUCGAUCUUGG
RNAcentral lists this long non-coding RNA (342 nucleotides) under Gossypium barbadense (sea-island cotton). Its description in RNAcentral is "long non-coding RNA (GBAR_LNC022867)". The record is from RNAcentral. Lineage: Eukaryota; Viridiplantae; Streptophyta; Magnoliopsida; Malvales; Malvaceae.